UCUGCCUUGUGUAUUUAACACACAUGUUCUGACAAAUGAGGCAGUCAUUCUUCUGCCUCAUUACACAGCCUCGAUUCAUCCCCAGGGUAUAGUCCAUCUUUACAUCGGGUGAAGAAGAGCUCGAGACGGGAGAGAGGAAAAUGUAGGGUCACCUGGGACUUGGGCAGCUCUGUUUUGUGGCCAGAAGGAUUGAUGAAGGAAUGAUGUGCGGUGCUGGAAAGGCAAGAAUGACAAACAGCAGCCCUGCGGUCACUUUGAAAGGCCUGAGUAAGCGUUUGCAGUGCCUCGUCCUGGAAAUGCUGAAUGCUAACACUUCACCUGCCGCCUGGGAAUCCACUUUCCCCAGGGAGCCUUCCCUGGGGGUGCAGCUGGAGGAGGCUGAGCUGGAGAUGCAUUACCACCCUGAAAGAACAUCGAGUAAAAGUAGGCUUACAGAGAAGAGGAGAUGGAAUGCGUUGGCCAAAAAGCUUCAUCUUGGAGUUCUUCAAGAAAGGAUAGCGACAAUUGACACACAGACAAAAAAACAAUUUA
Molecule: long non-coding RNA, 531 nt
Organism: Cygnus atratus (black swan)
Lineage: Eukaryota; Metazoa; Chordata; Aves; Anseriformes; Anatidae
Exons: 3
Source: RefSeq, a predicted model, not a curated record